This 30-nucleotide non-coding RNA is filed under the name Rattus norvegicus (Norway rat). Lineage: Eukaryota; Metazoa; Chordata; Mammalia; Rodentia; Muridae. The record is from RNAcentral.
UAGAAGCAAGCUACUAAUGUCCCAUGGCCC